RNAcentral lists this unclassified non-coding RNA (253 nucleotides) under uncultured Lysobacterales bacterium. RNAcentral describes it as "uncultured Xanthomonadales bacterium contains 16S-23S intergenic spacer region". It matches the Rfam family "Bacterial small subunit ribosomal RNA", at positions 524 to 776 of the family's 1533-position model. Lineage: Bacteria; Pseudomonadati; Pseudomonadota; Gammaproteobacteria; Lysobacterales. The record is from RNAcentral.
UACGGAGGGUGCGUGCGUUAAUCGGAAUUACUGGGCGUAAAGCGUGCGUAGGCGGUCUGUUAAGUCCGAUGUGAAAGCCCUGGGCUCAACCUGGGAAUUGCAUUGGAAACUGGCGAGCUAGAGUGCGGUAGAGAGUGGCGGAAUACCCGGUGUAGCGGUGAAAUGCGUAGAGAUCGGGAGGAACAUCCGUGGCGAAGGCGGCCACCUGGACCAGCACUGACGCUGAGGCACGAAAGCGUGGGUAGCAAACAGG